Molecule: long non-coding RNA, 360 nt
Organism: Xenopus laevis (African clawed frog)
Lineage: Eukaryota; Metazoa; Chordata; Amphibia; Anura; Pipidae
Exons: 3
Source: RefSeq, a predicted model, not a curated record
CAGUCUUUUAGAUAAUUUCUUGCCGACCCCUUCACAGAACCCAGAAGCAAGGCACCACGAGGGAGUCUGGCAGUGAGUAAGCAGAACUACUACUCGCAACCCCAUAUGGACUUUUUAUUGGACUGAAUGCGCAAAACCCUGUCAGGGUAAAUGUGAGUGUAAUUUUUAAUUGAUUUUAAGUUGUUUUUAAUAAAACGGUAUUACACUAUCACUGGUUUUUAUCUCUGGCAUUGGAACCUGGAAGGAAUAUCGUGACCCAAAGGAGGGACCAGAAAAGAGCUUUCUGUUACAUGCAUAACACCACUGCUGUGGUUUGUAAGUAGGCAUUUUUAUAGAAGGUGGAAGCACUCCUGGAGUAUA